GAUUGAGAUCCAAAACCUCCCAAGACACUUUGGAUGUGCGGUUCCCUGAAGUCCAUCCAGAUGAUCCUUAAUAAGACGGCAGACGGUACAGGCAUAGACUCCAACACCCUGGCCUUACAGAUGAAGGGCCAUCCUGAGCUGAGGGACUAGCUCCAUGUCGUCACCUCAUGGGGGCCUUUGCCUGUCUACCCUGGGGUGGUCAACUCAGAAUUACCUGAGGAAGUACGGUACCUGUCCUCACGGAGGCUACGGUCUCGGACUGGACGAUUCUUGACCUGGAUCCUAAACCGAAUGCAUAUCAGGGACGUCUGCUUCUACCCACGCUUCAUAAAACGAUGCAUGCCAUAGAUGCGUCAACAUGUCGCCUUCAAUUCUUGAUUCUAAGCAUUGCUUAAUAUUUAGUGUGGGAAAUCAAGAUUAAUAAGGGGUGGGGCUAGGUUGAUCAAGUGGGGGGGGGGGUGAUUGUAUGCCCUAAGACCAAAUUUCUAGAGAUAAUUAUGCCAUUGUAUUGUAAGGUAUCUCUUCAAGGUGCAGUUUUAAGCCUUCUUUACAGUUCGCUCUUUUAGUUUCAAGUAGUUUUGGGUUUUUUUUACCAAAACUCAUAACAAAUUGCAAGGGUUCAACCUAACAUUUCUUAUGAAAUCUGGCCAAAACAGGACUUGCCUCCAAAUGACUCGGCAAUGCCCUACGAUGUAAGAUGAGUUUCAAUCAGUGUUCAAAAAUCCAUUUUUAUGAAGAUUUGAGCAAAAAUUACUGGUUUAUUGAUUGGAAAGAAGUUAUCUUUUGUGACCGCAAUUUCUCCCACAUAUUUGACGUGAUUAUCUGUUGGAUGGAAUAUCUGACCAGAAAUCGUGUUGGAAUUGAGCCUCAAGUACUUUAGGCCCCCCCCCC
Molecule: long non-coding RNA, 891 nt
Filed under: Patiria miniata (bat star)
Lineage: Eukaryota; Metazoa; Echinodermata; Asteroidea; Valvatida; Asterinidae
Description: uncharacterized LOC119745317
Source: RNAcentral